AAACUGGGCAAGUGAACCCAUUUUGUUUGUGUGCCCUCUUUACUGAGUAGAGCCAUGAUAGCAAAAAACUCAGGGCACUGAUGUCUCAGUGUAACCACCCGUCUGGGGAAGACAGAGCUUGACCUCAGCUUGAGAGUACUUGAAAGAGUGACCAUAACACCACAGGAAAGGGCAGAUAUUAACAGGCUCUCUCAUCACUGGAACUCCGGGUGUUGUACAGGACUUGUUCAUUCAGCCUGUGAGAGUGGUUUUGUGUGGUGUGGGAUUCAGUGUUUAAAUCCAUGCCAGAAGUCUGCUCCUCCUGCUUGUUGCUGGAUGAUCCAAACAUGCUUUUAUACCUGCUAAAUCAAGAUUGGGUGUAAUUAAGAG
This is a long non-coding RNA of Lepidothrix coronata (blue-crowned manakin), 369 nucleotides long. RefSeq lists it as uncharacterized. Lineage: Eukaryota; Metazoa; Chordata; Aves; Passeriformes; Pipridae. The record is from RefSeq and is a predicted model, not a curated record. The transcript is spliced from 5 exons.